GUAGUCUCGCACAGAUGCAUAUCAAUAAGCGGAGGAAAAGAAACUAACAAGGAUUCCCUUAGUAACGGCGAGUGAAGCGGGAAGAGCUCAAAUUUGAAAUCUUCAAGGUUUUACCUUGACGAAUUGUAGUUUAAAGAAGUGUUUUCUGUUGAAGUUUUGGUAAAAGUUCUUUGGAAUAGGACAUCAUAGAGGGUGAGAAUCCCGUAUUUGACCAUUAUUUUCAGCUGUGUGAUACACUUUCAAAGAGUCGGAUUGUUUGGGAAUGCAGUCCAAAAUGGGUGGUAAAUUUCAUCUAAAGCUAAAUAUUGGCGAGAGACCGAUAGCGAACAAGUACCGAUGAGGGAAAGAUGAAAAGAACUUUGAAAAGAGAGUUAAACAGGUACGUGAAAUUGUCAAAAGGGAAGCGUUUGACACCAGUGUUGUUUUCUCGAAAAUCAAUUAAAAAGAGUUUGAUUUUGUUGUGUAUUGACCUUAACAGCUUGCAUUUCAAUUUUCUUGCUUUUUUUAAUGCACUUUUCGUUUAACAAGUCAACAUCAGUUUCUUUUGUUGUAAAAAGGUCAUUGGAAGGUGGCUUUCUUUUCGGAGAAAGUGUUUAUAGCCUUUGACUCCUGCAAUCGGAGAGACUGAGGUCUGCAGCGUAGAUCCUUCGGGGUUAGAUACAUUUGUGCUAAGUUAUAGCUUUUUAUAGACAACUUGUUGACUAUGAUUAGUCUUGUAGCUUACUCGCUUAUGCUAUUUUACCUACGCUUAGGAUGUUGAGCGCAUGUCUCUCUCU
Molecule: ribosomal RNA, 776 nt
Filed under: uncultured Neocallimastigales
Lineage: Eukaryota; Fungi; Neocallimastigomycota; Neocallimastigomycetes; Neocallimastigales
Description: partial large subunit ribosomal RNA
Rfam family: Eukaryotic large subunit ribosomal RNA
Source: RNAcentral